RNAcentral lists this ribosomal RNA (1052 nucleotides) under Fusarium oxysporum. RNAcentral describes it as "eukaryotic LSU rRNA". The stretch from base 615 to 1052 matches the Rfam family "Eukaryotic large subunit ribosomal RNA", at positions 1 to 443 of the family's 3401-position model. The record is from RNAcentral. Lineage: Eukaryota; Fungi; Ascomycota; Sordariomycetes; Hypocreales; Nectriaceae.
CACUAUGUCUCGUGAGGCGUCCGGACUGGCCCAGAGAGGUGGGCAACUACCACUCAGGGCCGGAAAGCUCUCCAAACUCGGUCAUUUAGAGGAAGUAAAAGUCGUAACAAGGUCUCCGUUGGUGAACCAGCGGAGGGAUCAUUACCGAGUUUACAACUCCCAAACCCCUGUGAACAUACCAAUUGUUGCCUCGGCGGAUCAGCCCGCUCCCGGUAAAACGGAACGGCCCGCCAGAGGACCCCUAAACUCUGUUUCUAUAUGUAACUUCUGAGUAAAACCAUAAAUAAAUCAAAACUUUCAACAACGGAUCUCUUGGUUCUGGCAUCGAUGAAGAACGCAGCAAAAUGCGAUAAGUAAUGUGAAUUGCAGAAUUCAGUGAAUCAUCGAAUCUUUGAACGCACAUUGCGCCCGCCAGUAUUCUGGCGGGCAUGCCUGUUCGAGCGUCAUUUCAACCCUCAAGCCCCCGGGUUUGGUGUUGGGGAUCGGCGAGCCUCACGGCAAGCCGGCCCCGAAAUACAGUGGCGGUCUCGCUGCAGCUUCCAUUGCGUAGUAGUAAAACCCUCGCAACUGGUACGCGGCGCGGCCAAGCCGUUAAACCCCCAACUUCUGAAUGUUGACCUCGGAUCAGGUAGGAAUACCCGCUGAACUUAAGCAUAUCAAUAAGCGGAGGAAAAGAAACCAACAGGGAUUGCCCUAGUAACGGCGAGUGAAGCGGCAACAGCUCAAAUUUGAAAUCUGGCUCUCGGGCCCGAGUUGUAAUUUGUAGAGGAUACUUUUGAUGCGGUGCCUUCCGAGUUCCCUGGAACGGGACGCCAUAGAGGGUGAGAGCCCCGUCUGGUUGGAUGCCAAAUCUCUGUAAAGUUCCUUCGACGAGUCGAGUAGUUUGGGAAUGCUGCUCUAAAUGGGAGGUAUAUGUCUUCUAUAGCUAAAUACCGGCCAGAGACCGAUAGCGCACAAGUAGAGUGAUCGAAGAUGAUAUGCACUUUGAACAGAGAGUUAAAAAGUACGUUAAAUUGUUUGAAGGGAGAGGGCUGUGGGUGUUGCAAAACAAA